UACAGAGGUCUCAACCGUUGUUCGGAUUCAUUGGGCGUAAAGGGUGCGUAGGCGGUCGCGUAAGUCAGGUGUGAAAUCUCAGGGCUCAACCCUGAAACUGCACUUGAUACUGCGUGGCUCGGGUACUGGAGAGGAGACUGGAAUUUACGGUGUAGCAGUGAAAUGCGUAGAUAUCGUAAGGAAGGCCAGUGGCGAAGGCGAGUCUCUGGACAGUUACCGACGCUGAGGCACGAAGGUCAGGGGAGCAAACGGG
This 253-nucleotide ribosomal RNA is filed under the name uncultured bacterium. RNAcentral describes it as "partial 16S ribosomal RNA". It matches the Rfam family "Bacterial small subunit ribosomal RNA", at positions 524 to 776 of the family's 1533-position model. The record is from RNAcentral.